CGUAGGAGGCAAGCGUUAUCCGGAGUUACUGGGCGUAAAGCGCGUGUAGGCGGAUUGGUAAGUGGUUCGUGAAAUAUCUGGGCUAAACUCAGAGGGGACGAAUCAGACUGCUAGUCUGGAGGCGGGUAGAGGGGUGCGGAAUUCCGGGUGUAGCGGUGAAAUGUGUAGAUAUCCGGAGGAACACCAGAGGUGCAGACGGCGCCCUGGGCCCGACCUGACGCUGAGACGCGAAAGCUUGGGGAGCGAACGGGAUUAGAGACCCCGGUAGUCCAAGCCAUAAACGAUGUCAACUAGGUGUCCACUUGACUACGGUCAAGGGGGCGCCGAAGCUAACGCGAUAAGUUGACCGCCUGGGGAGUACGGUCGCAAGAUUA
This 374-nucleotide ribosomal RNA is filed under the name uncultured organism. Its description in RNAcentral is "bacterial SSU rRNA". It matches the Rfam family "Bacterial small subunit ribosomal RNA", at positions 526 to 896 of the family's 1533-position model. The record is from RNAcentral.